This is a long non-coding RNA of Homo sapiens (human), 488 nucleotides long. RefSeq lists it as uncharacterized. The transcript is spliced from 3 exons. The record is from RefSeq and is a predicted model, not a curated record. NCBI's taxonomy places the organism in Eukaryota, Metazoa, Chordata, Mammalia, Primates, Hominidae.
ACUCGUUCUGUCGCCUGCUAACCUGUGAAGAAGUGCCUUCCGCCAUGAUUGUGUUUUCUGAGGCCUCUCCAGACAUGAGAAACUUUUAUUUUUAUGAAUUUCAGCCAAGGAGUUGUCACCCUCCUAAAGCACUACAAUUAAAUCUAGAUUGCUAUUCCCAUCUGAGUAUUUAUGACACUUCCUGAGUACAUAAAUAUUCAUGAGUGCAAAUCAAAUUUUGCAGUUAUCAUCCAAAUUAAAAGAUUCAACACCCCUUCAGAAGAAAAUAUGCUGUGAAAAUAUACUUUUUAAAGUUUAGUUCCUUCGAUGUAGAAGAUAAAGCUUCAAAAGAGAAUUGAAAUUUAUGGAACUUAAUUUUUUGUUUGUAUUCAGCAGAGAACAAAGAAACCAAGACUGAUUCUAAAUGUCCCUGUUUCUAGAAAGGAAUAAAAUUUGCUUCUGUCACCACUUCAGGCGAGCCUCUCACAACCCCCCAACUGCACACUCCA